Molecule: transfer RNA, 73 nt
Filed under: Xestospongia muta (giant barrel sponge)
Lineage: Eukaryota; Metazoa; Porifera; Demospongiae; Haplosclerida; Petrosiidae
Description: tRNA-Ile
Rfam family: tRNA
About the family: Transfer RNA (tRNA) molecules are approximately 80 nucleotides in length. Their secondary structure includes four short double-helical elements and three loops (D, anti-codon, and T loops). Further hydrogen bonds mediate the characteristic L-shaped molecular structure. tRNAs have two regions of fundamental functional importance: the anti-codon, which is responsible for specific mRNA codon recognition, and the 3' end, to which the tRNAs corresponding amino acid is attached (by aminoacyl-tRNA synthetases). tRNAs cope with the degeneracy of the genetic code in two manners: having more than one tRNA (with a specific anti-codon) for a particular amino acid; and 'wobble' base-pairing, i.e. permitting non-standard base-pairing at the 3rd anti-codon position.
Source: RNAcentral
AAGCUGAUAGCUUAUGUGGUAAAGCAUGUGGCUCAUAACUACAAGGUAAUUGGUUCAAUUCCAAUUCAGCUUA